Molecule: ribosomal RNA, 618 nt
Filed under: Pseudomonas sp. 9BA
Lineage: Bacteria; Pseudomonadati; Pseudomonadota; Gammaproteobacteria; Pseudomonadales; Pseudomonadaceae
Description: bacterial SSU rRNA
Rfam family: Bacterial small subunit ribosomal RNA
Source: RNAcentral
UCGAGCGGUAGAGAGAAGCUUGCUUCUCUUGAGAGCGGCGGACGGGUGAGUAAUGCCUAGGAAUCUGCCUAGUGGUGGGGGAUAACGUUCGGAAACGGACGCUAAUACCGCAUACGUCCUACGGGAGAAAGCGGGGGAUCUUCGGACCUCGCGCCAUUAGAUGAGCCUAGGUCGGAUUAGCUAGUUGGUGAGGUAAUGGCUCACCAAGGCGACGAUCCGUAACUGGUCUGAGAGGAUGAUCAGUCACACUGGAACUGAGACACGGUCCAGACUCCUACGGGAGGCAGCAGUGGGGAAUAUUGGACAAUGGGCGAAAGCCUGAUCCAGCCAUGCCGCGUGUGUGAAGAAGGUCUUCGGAUUGUAAAGCACUUUAAGUUGGGAGGAAGGGCAAUAACCUAAUACGUUAUUGUUUUGACGUUACCGACAGAAUAAGCACCGGCUAACUUCGUGCCAGCAGCCGCGGUAAUACGAAGGGUGCAAGCGUUAAUCGGAAUUACUGGGCGUAAAGCGCGCGUAGGUGGUUCAGUAAGUUGGAAGUGAAAUCCCCGGGCUCAACCUGGGAACUGCUUUCAAAACUGCUGAGCUAGAGUACGGUAGAGGGUGGUGGAAUUUCCUGUG